This 91-nucleotide transfer RNA is filed under the name Belgica antarctica. Its description in RNAcentral is "tRNA IU25_tRNA_71". The record is from RNAcentral. Lineage: Eukaryota; Metazoa; Arthropoda; Insecta; Diptera; Chironomidae.
AAUGAUUGGAAAAAGUUUUAAAAGCUUUUAACUAAGCUUUCCAAAAUUUAAGAUCUUUAAGUUUCUUUGUGCAAUCUCCAAGAUUUUUUUA